RNAcentral lists this ribosomal RNA (435 nucleotides) under uncultured bacterium. Its description in RNAcentral is "partial 16S ribosomal RNA". It matches the Rfam family "Bacterial small subunit ribosomal RNA", at positions 28 to 507 of the family's 1533-position model. The record is from RNAcentral.
GAUGAACGCUGGCGGUAUGCUUAACACAUGCAAGUCGAACGGACUCUUCGGAGUUAGUGGCGGACGGGUGAGUAACGCGUGAGAAUCUGGCUUUGGGUUCUGGACAACCACUGGAAACGGUGGCUAAUACCGGAUGUGCCGAGAGGUAAAAGAGAAAUUGCCUGAAGAUGAGCUCGCGUCUGAUUAGCUAGUUGGUGAGGUAAAGGCUCACCAAGGCAGCGAUCAGUAGCUGGUCUGAGAGGAUGACCAGCCACACUGGGACUGAGACACGGCCCAGACUCCUACGGGAGGCAGCAGUGGGGAAUUUUCCGCAAUGGGCGAAAGCCUGACGGAGCAAUACCGCGUGAGGGAAGAAGGCUCUUGGGUUGUAAACCUCUUUUCUUAGGGAAGAACAAAGUGACGGUACCUAAGGAAUCAGCAUCGGCUAACUCCGUG